AGUAAGGUGGCUGAAUUUUAGGCGAUAAAUUGUAAAUUUAUUUAUGAAUGAAUAGUUCUCUUUCUA
Molecule: transfer RNA, 66 nt
Filed under: Anthrenus verbasci (variegated carpet beetle)
Lineage: Eukaryota; Metazoa; Arthropoda; Insecta; Coleoptera; Dermestidae
Also listed under: 1 other name
Description: tRNA-Tyr
Source: RNAcentral